AUCUAUGGCCAUGCUACCUUGAAUGUGCCCUAUCUUGUCUCAUCUCAGAAGCUAAGCAGGGUCAGGCCUGGUUAGUACUUGAAUGGGAGACCACCUCAGAAGACCAGGUGCUGUAGGCA
RNAcentral lists this ribosomal RNA (119 nucleotides) under Pteropus alecto (black flying fox). The record is from RNAcentral. Lineage: Eukaryota; Metazoa; Chordata; Mammalia; Chiroptera; Pteropodidae.